Aplysia californica (California sea hare) is the source of this 1375-nucleotide long non-coding RNA. RefSeq lists it as uncharacterized. The transcript has 2 exons. The record is from RefSeq and is a predicted model, not a curated record. Lineage: Eukaryota; Metazoa; Mollusca; Gastropoda; Aplysiida; Aplysiidae.
GUUCACCACGCGAGUGUGGGAUCGGGGGACUGUAGCACCAGUAUUGAUGUUGCUGCCGAUGCUGCUGAUGUCGCUGCUACUGCAAGUGGUUCUGAUGCUGUAACGUCGCUUUGCCGCUCAUCCGUUGAAGAAGAAGUGGAGGAGGAGGAGAAGAAGAAGAGGAUCGCGUGGGUCAGUUGGCCAGGAACGCGCCGGGUGUACAAGAAUUUUCCCGCUCUUCAGUGCGAGUGUCGGGGCAGGUCGAAGCACAUCGUAUGCUUGGAGGAGAGACCACGUGACAGUCCCAUUGUCCUGUUGUACCUAUACCCCUAGUUAUUUAUUCACCCUUGUGAGUACUCUUCCAUUCUAGUUGCCUUUGAUAGCUAUGUAUGCUUUUUUUCUUUGCCUGCUCCGGGUUUUUUUUAGCCGACAACGCCAUUGCGAGAGAGCAUGAGUGAUGCUUCAGUGUCUGCCUGCCCGCGGUGCCGGUUUGUUUCUCUUUUUUUCCCCUGCAUAUUUUUGUGAUGCCUGUUGCGGGCUGUGCUUAGUGCUCUGAAGGCGAUUUCUGAAAGGAUUUCGGGAGCUGUGGAGAGUGAUCCUGAGUGUUGGGUGUGUCUAUCUCAUCUCCGACGUCUGUGCUUUCACUGUUCACGUUUCUGGUCACAUCGGAUCCCCUCGACAACUUUAUCAAAACUAAAAGGAAAUAGAAGUCACAGGCCCGCCCUUCCCUUGCACUCAAAACGCACGCAUUCUUAAUCAAUCUCGAAAGAACCGAAGACAGUUUUCAGACUUCUUCAGAAACGAAGACUGGGUCCACCUAGAAUGUUAAAACAGUAGAUGAAAAGACUUUGGUGCCCAUUCACAUUUCUUUCGGACAUCCUUUGGAUAUACAAAUCUGAAUGUGCUUGGCAAAACGAGAGUACACAACUUUAAAUGUUAUUACACUUGUUGCAAGCAGGACGAUGACAGAGGAGCUGUGUCCCGUGAUGUAAUAAAAUUUGGAAUGUUUUAAUAAGAAACCAGCUUCGCUGCGAUACCUUCUGUUGGAGAAGUUUUGGUUCCUCUCCAUAUUUUGUGCUAUGGGAAGAGUAUUCUGUUCUCUUCAGUCAUUGGAUUAAAAAACCUUGUGCCGAUUUGCCACGAUGGAUAUAAGCCAGUGGAUUACUCUCAACCCUCGGAUUUCUGGUUUGUAUACGUUCCAAGUUUACAUUUACUUUCGUAAUUAUUUUGUUUAUUUCAUUCUUGGUGUGGUUGUAGUGUUUGUCUUGCUGUUUCUGUCGAUUGUGAUGAAGUAAUGUCUGCUGAUACAAUAUUAUAAAUUCAGAUGUUUUACGUAUUUGUAGGGAUGUCAAUGUGUAAGUAAGUAAGUGUGAGAAACAUUUGUAAGAGAACGAAA